Molecule: ribosomal RNA, 245 nt
Filed under: uncultured bacterium
Lineage: Bacteria
Description: partial 16S ribosomal RNA
Rfam family: Bacterial small subunit ribosomal RNA
Source: RNAcentral
AACGUAGGAGGCGAGCGUUAUCCGGAUUCACUGGGCGUAAAGCGCACGUAGGCGGUCGGGUAAGUCGGAUGUUAAAGCCCUUGGCUCAACUAGGGGAGGUCAUUCGAUACUGCUCGGCUUGAGGAUGAGAGAGGAAAGUGGAAUUCCCGGUGUAGCGGUGGAAUGCGUAGAGAUCGGGAGGAACACCAGUGGCGAAAGCGGCUUUCUGGCUCAUUCCUGACGCUGAGUGUGCGAAAGCGUGGGUA